RNAcentral lists this long non-coding RNA (2721 nucleotides) under Homo sapiens (human). RNAcentral describes it as "HSALNT0071648". The record is from RNAcentral. Lineage: Eukaryota; Metazoa; Chordata; Mammalia; Primates; Hominidae.
CUCAUCAUGUAUAAAAUGGUGCAGUAGGAUGCAAAAUUUCCACUUGUUUAUAAGUGUAUCGCCGAGAAAUGUAUAAAAUAAUCGAGACCGGCGGAGGCAGGUCAGAGCCGUCUGGAAUGCGCGCACCUUCAACGUCCGCCUUUAGCGAUGGUUUGGGAACCCGGGCGCUGGAAAGGCGCGGGUGCGGAGGGCGGCUGAGCCGCGCGGCUGCGGCACCGUGGGCGCGAGACCCCUGCGGAGAGGAGCGCGCGGACGCCGGGGGAAGCGCCUCGGGGCGGCUGGAGGCGCAGCACCCUGGGGGAGCCGGGGCGCGGGAGAGACAAAACUGUUCGAACCUUCUCUCCCUUCCCCACCCCCAGCGCCCAAACCCGGGGCGGGUGAGCGCGACCCUUGCAGCGACCCCUUGCCGAGCCCUGCCCGCGCGAUUACUAAGGAGACGCGGCCUCCGGCACUGCCGUCCCCGCGCCGUUUGAAAACGGAUCCAUCAGCGGGGUAUUUGGAGAUUAUUCGCACUGAAUUUUCUGCCCGCCAAGAACGAAUAGGAUUGCCAAGCCACACCACUUUUUGGAGCCCGCUUAUUCGCGCCUAUCCACCCUCUCCUGUGCCCCAGGUUCCCUGAGCACGGGAAUCCUUUCCGGGCAUGGCCAAGUUUGUUCGGUGGCUCAGAGCGGGAAGGGAAGUGCAGUUCGACACCUGUCCAGCUGCUCCGCUUGGAGAUCAAAGGCCGGCUAUGGGCUGAGCGACAGAUUUACGGGACGGUGGUACAGAUUAAGGCGAGAACCCUGCCGGUCCUGGACUCGAGUUCGCACCCAAGGAAAGCGUACAGGUCCCUGGAAGCGGGUGGAUGUCGGAGAGGCCGAGGCAGCCUGCGCUGUGGCCAGGCAGGCUUGGUGGGCUUUAGUCUCAGUAUGUGUUCUUUAAAGUCUUGACAGGUUAUUAGUAAAGGAAGGGGCACCCCAGGGUCAUGAAGAUGCUUCUCGCUCUGGCCCAAGCAUGCUGAGGCUCGCUUAUUCCUCGGCCAGGCCCAGUAAAACAGCUCAAGCACAGCCUGGAGUCUUCCCGCAUCUGCGCGGGAGUAGAGUCUGGCUUUGGGCCCCGCGUACCCCGCAGUCGUCGGGGACCAGUUCGAGGCCACGGGAAGGGUUUCCGCGGCAGGGCGCGGAGUAAAGAGGGGAAGAAGGAAUCCUCUCCGCGUGAUCAGUAGGGCGGGCUUGUGAUACUCUCACACCCAGGUUCCAGCUCAGCCCCCAAACUGCUGCCCCAAGAAAACAAGUUGGGGAGUGUGGAUUUAGACAUAACAACGGGUGUGAGCUGAUGUCCUUACAACCAAAAAUAUUGAGACUAGAAAUUCAGCUCCGAAUCCACGACCCUCAGAUUGAUGCUUAAUCGCACCCUCGACUCCAGAAAAGCUGCCGGGGACAGACAUGGACAGGUUUUGCCAAGGGUUCAUUAAAAUAGUCUGCACUGGAAUAACCGGGGUGCAAGAGAUCACGUCUUCACUCAGGGCUUUGGGGAUCCCCUCGUCGCCCCAGGUCAGUGGGUGGGGAGGAGGGCAAACUUCUGUCUUUUGUUUGUGGGUGAGGGAUGCGAAUUGUGGCAGCAGCCGAGAAAAGGGGGGAAAUUAAUUGCAGCCAAUUAAUAAUUAAUCCCCUUUAAACAGCUUUAUUAUCUCUUCUGGGCGACAGAGAUUUGUCUGAUAACCCCCUGAAGACCAAAUGUCAAGUUUAACCAAAUAGUUAUUGCUUUAUCAACCCGAGUCUGCAAAUAAAUUAAUCAAAAGCAAGCACUUUGGGAGGCCGAGGCAGGUGGAUCACCUCAGGUCAGGAGUUCGAGACCAGCGUGACCAACAUGGUGAAACCCGUCUCUACUAAAAAUACAAAAAAUUAGAUGGGUAUGGUGGCGCGUGCCUGUCUGCUACUCGGGAGGCUGAGGCAGGAGAACCUUGGAGGCAAAGGUUGCAGUGAGCUGAGAUCAAGCCACCGCACUCCAGCCUGGGCGACAGCGCAAAACUUUGUCUCAAAAAAAAAAAAAAAAAAAAGUCCGCAGUAUGGUUUUCACAUUAUCACUCUCAAUGCCAUUGGAGGUAGGUCCAAGCUGGUGUCUCUUUGAUUAGUCUCCCUAAACCCAUCUAUUCAUUUACUAGCCAUUAGUUAUUCUUUAAUUGAGUCCAAAAAUGUUUGUGAGGAGAUAGUCCCAUAUGAGAUUAAAAGAAAGAAAGAAAACAAAACAACAAACAAACAAACAAAACAGAAAAUCAGGUGUAGUGGACACUGAAGAGUUUCUGGAACAAUGCCAACAUUGAAGUCCUCGGUUGGAGUCUGCACAGUUGGAGAUCUUUGGUGCCAUUUUAGACAUCUUUGGAUUUCAUCAAUCAAACUGACUGCAAUUUUCCAUAAAAACCCUGAAUUUGGGUCAGAAAGUGGGCAAAGUAGAUAAAGAUCAUUCGAGCUGUCUUAUAAGAUGAUAAAUAGAUAUCCUUUCAGGCCAACAAUGCCAAAGUGCAGUUUUGUGAUUCCCUUCCAUGGGUUCUGAAUGCAGUGAGUCGAAACGAUUUCUACAUGUUUUCCCAUGGUUUAGGAGGUGUCUUUACAUACUUGUCAAUAGUAGCCUGACCUUUUUCCCCAUGGAGUUGCUAAGUGUGUUUUGUUUGUUGCUUUGAGUACUUUUUUCUUGUUGUUUGUGUGUGUGUUGCACAAAAUACACAAGAAAAUAAAGGUUUUU